RNAcentral lists this ribosomal RNA (880 nucleotides) under uncultured bacterium. RNAcentral describes it as "bacterial SSU rRNA". It matches the Rfam family "Bacterial small subunit ribosomal RNA", at positions 11 to 886 of the family's 1533-position model. The record is from RNAcentral.
GUUUGAUCAUGGCUCAGGAUGAACGCUAGCGGGAGGCUUAACACAUGCAAGUCGAGGGGCAGCAUAGGGUAGCAAUACUCUGAUGGCGACCGGCAGACGGGUGAGUAACGCGUAUGUAACCUACCCUGUACAGGGGGAUAACCCGGAGAAAUUCGGACUAAUAUCCCAUGGAAAUAUCGGAAGGCAUCUUUUGAUAUUUAAAGUUCCGGCGGUACGGGAUGGGCAUGCGUAACAUUAGCUAGUUGGUAAGGUAACGGCUUACCAAGGCUUUGAUGUUUAGGGGUCCUGAGAGGGUGGUCCCCCACACUGGUACUGAGACACGGACCAGACUCCUACGGGAGGCAGCAGUGAGGAAUAUUGGUCAAUGGGCGCAAGCCUGAACCAGCCAUCCCGCGUGCAGGAAGACGGCCCUAUGGGUUGUAAACUGCUUUUCCAGGGGGAGAAACUUGCGUACGCGUUGCGCAAUUGACGGUACCCUGGGAAUAAGCAUCGGCUAACUCCGUGCCAGCAGCCGCGGUAAUACGGAGGAUGCGAGCGUUAUCCGGAUUCAUUGGGUUUAAAGGGUGCGUAGGCGGACUAUUAAGUCAGUGGUGAAAUCCUGCAGCUUAACUGCAGAACUGCCAUUGAUACUGAUAGCCUUGAGUUUGGUUAAGGUAGGCGGAAUGUGUAAUGUAGCGGUGAAAUGCUUAGAUAUUACACAGAACACCAAUUGCGUAGGCAGCUUACUGAGCCGACACUGACGCUGAGGCACGAAAGCGUGGGGAUCGAACAGGAUUAGAUACCCUGGUAGUCCACGCCGUAAACGAUGAUUACUCGCUGUUGGCGAUACACUGUCAGCGGCUAAGCAAAAGCAAUAAGUAAUCCACCUGGGGAGUACGGC